AUGAAAAUGCUGACAGGAAUAACCAUCCUCCUAAUGUUGGGUGUGAUGGCUGACGCCGAGGUCACACAGCCAAGUUCAGUGCAGAGCAAUGAAGGAGACCUUGUGCGAUUGCCCUGUGAGCACUCUACCAUCAGUACAGCUGACUACAUCCAUUGGUAUCGACAGAUUCCUCACAACAGUCCAGAGUACCUGAUUCACAGUCUGAGAACCAAUGAGACCAGAGGAAGAGUUUCUUUGAUCAUGGCACCAGACAGAAAGUCCAGCACCUUGGUCCUGCCCCAGGUCACCGUGAGAGACUCUGCUGUGUACUACUGCACCGUGAGAGAGGCACACUGA
Erinaceus europaeus (western European hedgehog) is the source of this 336-nucleotide non-coding RNA. The record is from the annotation of a RefSeq genome assembly. Lineage: Eukaryota; Metazoa; Chordata; Mammalia; Eulipotyphla; Erinaceidae.